GCCGGGAUGGCGGAACUGGUAGACGCGCCGGACUCAAAAUCCGGUGGUCUUGCGACCGUGAGAGUUCGAUUCUCUCUCCCGGCACCA
RNAcentral lists this transfer RNA (87 nucleotides) under Chromatiales bacterium. RNAcentral's name for it is "tRNA-Leu". It matches the Rfam family "tRNA". From Rfam's summary of the family: Transfer RNA (tRNA) molecules are approximately 80 nucleotides in length. Their secondary structure includes four short double-helical elements and three loops (D, anti-codon, and T loops). Further hydrogen bonds mediate the characteristic L-shaped molecular structure. tRNAs have two regions of fundamental functional importance: the anti-codon, which is responsible for specific mRNA codon recognition, and the 3' end, to which the tRNAs corresponding amino acid is attached (by aminoacyl-tRNA synthetases). tRNAs cope with the degeneracy of the genetic code in two manners: having more than one tRNA (with a specific anti-codon) for a particular amino acid; and 'wobble' base-pairing, i.e. permitting non-standard base-pairing at the 3rd anti-codon position. Lineage: Bacteria; Pseudomonadati; Pseudomonadota; Gammaproteobacteria; Chromatiales. The record is from RNAcentral.